UGGGGAAUCUUGCACAAUGGGGGAAACCCUGAUGCAGCGACGCCGCGUGAGCGAUGAAGCCCUUCGGGGUGUAAAGCUCUUUCGGCAGGAACGAUCAUGACGGUACCUGCAGAAGAAGCUGCGGCUAACUACGUGCCAGCAGCCGCGGUAAUACGUAGGCAGCGAGCGUUGUUCGGAGUUACUGGGCGUAAAGAGUAUGUAGGCGGUUCUCCAAGUCUGGUGUGAAAUCUCCCGGCUCAACCGGGAGGGUGCAUUGGAAACUGGGGGGCUGGAGUGCGGGAGAGGGAAGCGGAAUUCCUGGUGUAGCGGUGAAAUGCGUAGAUAUCAGGAGGAACACCCGCGGUGUAGACGGCUUCCUGGACCGUAACUGACGCUGAGAUACGAAAGCGUGGGGAGCAAACAGGAUUAGAGACCCUGGUAG
This 421-nucleotide ribosomal RNA is filed under the name uncultured bacterium. RNAcentral describes it as "bacterial SSU rRNA". It matches the Rfam family "Bacterial small subunit ribosomal RNA", at positions 355 to 793 of the family's 1533-position model. The record is from RNAcentral.